Long non-coding RNA from Medicago truncatula (barrel medic), 502 nucleotides. RefSeq lists it as uncharacterized. Lineage: Eukaryota; Viridiplantae; Streptophyta; Magnoliopsida; Fabales; Fabaceae. The record is from RefSeq and is a predicted model, not a curated record. The transcript has 2 exons.
AUUUUGUUAAGCUUCUUAUCAACAGGAAGCAAAUUGUUGCUGCAGUUAGCUUCAGUUUUGCAUAUGACUUGGAUGACAAGGAUCAUUUAGUUGAUAUGUUACGAGAAUACGUCAAAAAUGCCAAACUGAUUUGUGAGAGCAGUUGCAAGAAAUCAAACUCCAUUGAAAUCAAGGAUAAGGCCAGAGAUGAAGAAAUUGCUAGUCUUGGGACUGUUCUGCAAUGCAUUUCUGAUAGCAACCUUGAAUCUACGGGUCUGCUUCAUAAGGAGAUUGAAUAUCGCAUUCUUGAGCUAAAAGCACAUAAAGGCUAUUAGUUAUUGGACUGGAACAAGCUAAUGGAAAGAAUGAAAACAAAUGCGGUAAUGGAAAUAUGCUAACUUAAUUUGAUUUAAUUGACUUUGACGCGACUCUCUCUCUUUCUUAUUCUGUGUAAAAGGUGUUAAUUGGAAAGAAUGAAAACUCAUGAUAUAGUUAACAGGGUUACCUUUAUUUCUUGGCUUUC